RNAcentral lists this unclassified non-coding RNA (404 nucleotides) under soil metagenome. RNAcentral describes it as "partial contains 5.8S ribosomal RNA, internal transcribed spacer 2, and large subunit ribosomal RNA". The stretch from base 1 to 121 matches the Rfam family "5.8S ribosomal RNA", at positions 35 to 154 of the family's 154-position model. The record is from RNAcentral.
GAUGAAGAACGUAGCGAAAUGCGAUAAGUAAUGUGAAUUGCAGAAUUCAGUGAAUCAUCGAAUCUUUGAACGCACCUUGCGCCCUUUGGCCAUUCCGAAGGGCAUGCCUGUUUGAGUAUCAUGAACACCUCAACUCUUCAUGGUUUUCCAUGAUGAGCUUGGACUUUGGGGGUCUUGCUGGCCUGUGGGUCGGCUCCUCUCAAAUGAAUCAGCUUGCCGGUUUUUGGUGGGCAUCACAGGUGUGAUAACUAUCUACGCUUGUGGUUUUCCGCCAGGUAACCUCCAGCGAUGGAGGUUCGCUGGAGCUCACAAACGUCUCUCCUCAGCGAAGACAGCUCUUGAACGUUUGAUCUCAAAUCAGGUAGGACUACCCGCUGAACUUAAGCAUAUCAAUAAGCGGAGGA